GGACUUUUUGUGCAAACACAUAUGGACACACAAAGCUUUUCUCUUUACGAAGGAUUGAAAUUUGUCUUGGAUUCACAAAGGACCAGGUCCAGUGCUGGAAACGAGCAUCUCCUGAGGACUGACCUGCCUAUCAGCUGUGCCUGUACAGCACCAAGCACAAUGAUGUACUUGAACCCAGUGAAGCAUUUGAGUCUGUAACUACAGCUCCUCAGCACCAGAAUACUGUAAAUAAGACAUGAUGACUUCUCUACCCCUUUUGUCAAAGAAUCACUAAAUACCAUACUUUCAUUUCAAGAGAAGAAAGUGAUCUUCAUUUGAGGAUAUUGUC
This 328-nucleotide long non-coding RNA is filed under the name Corvus moneduloides (New Caledonian crow). RNAcentral describes it as "lncRNA (ENSCMUG00000018438.1)". The record is from RNAcentral. Lineage: Eukaryota; Metazoa; Chordata; Aves; Passeriformes; Corvidae.